UUAUAUCACAAUGCAAAUACACCAGUAAUCACAAACAACUGCUCUCUUAACUUAAAACAGAAUUUAUUUAACAAGCAGCAUCAACUGCAAUCAAUGAAACUCAAUCAAACAAAUAACUACUAUAAACUAAACUACAGCAAACAAAGUAUUUACAAGCAAACAGUGUGGCACGUGUGUGGUUGUGUAUGUGUGUGAGAAAGAGAGAGAGGGAUAGGAAGAAGACAAGAUGGCGGGGAAGCACCAUGUGGUUACGUCACAUGGGGCAAAAUGGUGGACAACAAAGCCGUGUGGCGUGCGUGUGUCUGUGAGAGAGAGUCAACAAGAUGUUGAGAGAGAGAAAGAGCACCAUGUGGAGCUUCGUCAGUUGUGAAGAGUGAAGAGAAACCGAGCCGCCGGGAAGAGACUGACAAGGUCCCGGACCCCGAUUCAGCCUGCACACACAGGAGUUCGGUUUAUGGUGAGGAUAAACCCAGACAACACCAAAUGCACUUCAAGGGUCCAGGUCAGCCAAAGGAGUGGCAAGACAGUCCAGCUAAAGGCUACAGCCGUGAAUCCCCGAGUUGCAUCCUUUCUCAAGGACUUUUUAGACUUCGACUGGCAUGUAGCAAAUAGUUGUUUGAUGCUGUAAUAAUGUUAAACAUUUCAAAUGUUGCAUCUUUAAUGUUUAAAAAAAAGAAAAUUAGAAAUGUUCCUGUUGUGUUUCUACUUAAAACAAGGAACUCUUGACCUGUCAGCUGUACUUGUUCUAGCAUAGGAUGGGGGAUUGUCUGCAUUUUACAGUUACAUUUGAAAAAAAAAAAUCUGUCUUUUUUUCUUCAUUCAUUAAAACGAACAAAAUACUUGUUGAUACAGUGUAUUUGAAGCUAGAUUAUAUUUUUCAUGAAUUUGUUUUAAUAUAUCCACUUUUUCCUUAUUUACAGCCUGUGGUUGGGGUUGCUAUGACUCUAUAGAAUAGAGUAAGACUUCUCUUUGGUUAGUGUGUAGCUGAUCCUGUGCAAGCCAAUGUCACCUGAAAAAACAAACAUCCCCAAACCCGAAUGUUACUGCCGUCAUGGUAGUUUAACUGCUCAUGACUUUCUUUGAGAUUUCUGUAUCUCAAAGAAAGAUUUCUGUAUCUUUUUGCCAAUUCUAGAUAAAGUGGUGGCAACAUUCAGGUUUGUAGCUGUUUCGCCUAUCGAACUUGGUGACUUGUAGAGGAUCAACAACACACUGACCUUCGUCUGUUCAUUUCUUUUGGUCAGCCCUGCUGUUAUGUAUGUUCAUGUUUUGUUUUUUAUGUAAUAUUUUUGUAACACCGAACUGAGGUUGAGAAAUAAAAUGAAAUGCAUUUAACUUUCAAAUAUCAUUCUCAUUUAUCAUCAUUUAGCUAAAUAAACAAUAUUUUAAGUACAGUAAUACACUGGCAACAGAUAUUCAGUAGAGGUAGGUUCUACAGCACUGUUAUAAUUAAUACAGUAACAUUAACAUAUACAAUACUGUACUGUAUUCAAUUUCACAGCAGCAUUAAAAAGUACAGUACUGUAUUGUUUUUAA
This is a non-coding RNA of Labrus bergylta (ballan wrasse), 1533 nucleotides long. Lineage: Eukaryota; Metazoa; Chordata; Actinopteri; Labriformes; Labridae. The record is from RefSeq and is a predicted model, not a curated record.